UUUUCCUACGGGACGCAGCAGUGAGGAAUAUUGGUCAAUGGGCGGAAGCCUGAACCAGCCAAGUCGCGUGAGGGAUUAAGGCCCUGUGGGUCGUAAACCUCUUUUGUCAGGGAGCAAUGGCGUCCACGUGUGGGCGUAUGGAGAGUACCUGAAGAAAAAGCAUCGGCUAACUCCGUGCCAGCAGCCGCGGUAAUACGGAGGAUGCGAGCGUUAUCCGGAUUUAUUGGGUUUAAAGGGUGCGCAGGCGGCGAGUUAAGUCAGCGGUAAAAUUUCGGGGCUCAACCCCGACGAGCCGUUGAAACUGG
This 305-nucleotide ribosomal RNA is filed under the name uncultured bacterium. RNAcentral describes it as "bacterial SSU rRNA". It matches the Rfam family "Bacterial small subunit ribosomal RNA", at positions 334 to 636 of the family's 1533-position model. The record is from RNAcentral.